GACGAACGCUGGCGGCGUGCUUAACACAUGCAAGUCGAACGGAAAGGCCCUGCUUUUGUGGGGUGCUCGAGUGGCGAACGGGUGAGUAACACGUGAGUAACCUGCCCUUGACUUUGGGAUAACUUCAGGAAACUGGGGCUAAUACCGGAUAGGAGCUCCUGCUGCAUGGUGGGGGUGGGAAAGUUUCGGCGGUUGGGGAUGGACUCGCGGCUUAUCAGCUUGUUGGUGGGGUAGUGGCUUACCAAGGCUUUGACGGGUAGCCGGCCUGAGAGGGUGACCGGCCACAGUGGGACUGCGAUCGGGCCCAGACUCCUACGGGAGGCAGCAGUGGGGAAUAUUGCACAAUGGGCGGAAGCCUGAUGCAGCAACGCCGCGUGCGGGAUGACGGCCUUCGGGUUGUAAACCGAUUUCGCCUGUGACGAAGCGUGAGUGACGGUAAUGGGUAAAGAAGCACCGGCUAACUACGUG
Molecule: ribosomal RNA, 468 nt
Filed under: uncultured bacterium
Lineage: Bacteria
Description: partial 16S ribosomal RNA
Rfam family: Bacterial small subunit ribosomal RNA
Source: RNAcentral